Armigeres subalbatus is the source of this 1021-nucleotide long non-coding RNA. RefSeq lists it as uncharacterized. The record is from RefSeq and is a predicted model, not a curated record. The transcript has 4 exons. NCBI's taxonomy places the organism in Eukaryota, Metazoa, Arthropoda, Insecta, Diptera, Culicidae.
GGUGAAAUGUACAGAGAAAAUUGGUGAAUUUCACCCAUAUUAUUGGUAAAGUGGCUUUACCAAUUUAUGGGUAAAUAAAUUUACUCAUAUUUGGGUGAAAAUUUUUAACUUUGUUGUUUACAGUUCACAUAAUUUAUUGUUGUUUGUUGCAACUGAAUUAGCUCCCAAAUAAGGUCUCAAAAAACGGUGCGUUCCACGGUUGUUCGGUAAAUUAUUACGACAUGGAUCAUCCAGCACCAGCGACACUAUUACGGUCGUCACACUGGCCGAUCAGGCGGACUAAUCCGACUCACCGUUGUCAUCCUCAAGGCUUUGAGGGAACCAUUUCCCAGCUGAGCGGUACUCUUCGCAAUCGGCAUCUGUUGCAGCAGGACCAGCAAAAGCCGCGGAAACAUCCACAUCAUGUGUAUUUGCGGAGGUAACGGUUCCGUUCUCGAUCAUGCCCAUGAUAGAAGUUCGGCAAGCAUACAGUCGACAAUAGGCUUCCAGCCAUCUACUCAUCAAUCGACUGAUGCCUUUGCUUAACAAACAGCACUACGACCCCUCGGAAUUUGCCGGAAAAAUACCGAAAUGAAACGAAAACCUAUAAAUGACGCGAUUCAAAGGCUAUUUCUAGCUGGAAAUUGUGGAUUAUGUGGAACACCACAACUAGUUGCUUCCUUCAAAUACCGCCAAGUUAGGACGGUUAGUAUGCUCUUCAAAGACCCCACCAGCAGAGCAUCAAACCACAUUCCAGCAGCCCACCUGCUCCUCCCACAGCCGUUACUAAAACCGUUUCACUUUUAGUUGUCUGUCGAGGAAUCAAGGACACAGGACUUGGAAUUGGGACAUGUGAUGAGAUGUAUGUCGACCUCACCAGUAAUCUUUCGCACAGCUUUGCAUGCGAUUCUCAACCAGAUGUGGCUACUGAGGAAAUCGCUCCCGGCUUAAUGGCUGUAAACGCUUUGUAGGUUGCCGCGCCAGCGAUUUCAAAAUUGCAUGAUCAUAUUUUGAACGACCAGGAUUGUACGAUUAUACCUUA